AAGGCGAUUAGUUUAAGAGAUUAAUUGAUUGACGAUAAUCACAGAAGAAGCACCGGCUAACUCCGUGCCAGCAGCCGCGGUAAUACGGAGGGUGCGAGCGUUAAUCGGAAUGACUGGGCGUAAAGGGCACGCAGGUGGUGACUUAAGUGAGGUGUGAAAUCCCCGGGCUUAACCUGGGAACAGCAUUUCAGACUGGGUGACUAGAGUACUUUAGGGAGGGGUAGAAUUCCACGUGUAGCGGUGAAAUGCGUAGAGAUGUGGAGGAAUACCGAAGGCGAAGGCAGCCCCUUGGGAAGAUACUGACGCUCGAGUGCGAAAGCGUGGGGAGCAAACAGGAUUAGAUACCCUGGUAGUCCACGCUGUAAACGAUGUCGAUUUGGGGAUUGGGUGAACACUUGGUGCCCGAAA
RNAcentral lists this ribosomal RNA (408 nucleotides) under Histophilus somni. RNAcentral's name for it is "bacterial SSU rRNA". It matches the Rfam family "Bacterial small subunit ribosomal RNA", at positions 445 to 851 of the family's 1533-position model. Lineage: Bacteria; Pseudomonadati; Pseudomonadota; Gammaproteobacteria; Pasteurellales; Pasteurellaceae. The record is from RNAcentral.